RNAcentral lists this ribosomal RNA (328 nucleotides) under uncultured eukaryote. RNAcentral describes it as "partial 18S ribosomal RNA". It matches the Rfam family "Eukaryotic small subunit ribosomal RNA", at positions 1470 to 1796 of the family's 1831-position model. The record is from RNAcentral.
CCCUUAGAUGUCCUGGGCCGCACGCGCGUUACACUGAUGCAUUCAACGAGCCUAUAACCUUGGCCGAGAGGCCUGGGCAAUCUUGUUAACGUGCAUCGUGAUAGGGAUAGAUUAUUGAAAUUAUUAAUCUUGAACGAGGAAUUCCUAGUAAACGCAGAUCAUCAAUCUGCAUUGAUUACGUCCCUGCCCUUUGUACACACCGCCCGUCGCUCCUACCGAUUGGGUGUGCUGGUGAAAUGUUCGGAUCGGCCGUUUGUCGCGGUUUCCGCGUCAUGUGGCUGAGAAGUUCAUUAAACCCUCCCACCUAGAGGAAGGAGAAGUCGUAACA